CUACAGUCAUGAAUCCUGCUGAAACCUCCACUACUAGUGCAGCAGAAACUUCUACAACAACAGGGACUUCCAGAAUCCCAACAAUUCCUGUUGAAACAUACACCACUAGUACCACAGACACAUAUUUAACAACAGAGACUUCCACAAACCCAACAGUACCUGCUGAAACAUCCACCAAUAGUGCAGCAGAAACAUCUUCAACAGAGACUUCCACAAUCACAACAAUUCCUGCUGAAACCUUUACUAUCAGUGUAACAGAAACAUCUACAACAACAGAGACUUCCACAAUCAAGACUCCUGCUGAAACAUCCACCACUAGUGCAACAGAAACAUCUACAACAACAGAGACUUCCACAAUCACUACUUCUGCUGAAAUAUCUACUAUCAGUGAAACAGAAACAUCUACAACAAAAGAGUCUUCAACAAUAAUGAUUCCUGCUGAAACACCCACCACUAGUGUAGCAGAAAUAUUUUCAACAACAGAGACUUCAACAUUCACAACACCUCCGGGUGAAACAUCCACUAUUAGUGUAGCAGAAACAUCUAUAACAACAGAGACUACUACAAUCACACCUUCUCCUGCUAAAACAUCCACAACUAGUGUAGCAGUAACAUCUACAACAAUGGAGACUUUCACAAUCACGACUCCUGCUGAAACAUCCACUAUUAGUGUAGCAGAAAUAUCUUCAACAACAGAGAUUUCCACAAUCACUAUUCUUGCUGAAACAUCCACCUCUAGUGGAGCAGAAACAUCUACUACCAAAGAGAUUUCUACAGUCAUGAAUCCUGCUGAAACCUCCACUACUAGUGCAGCAGAAACUUCUACAACAACAGGGACUUCCAGAAUCCCAACAAUUCCUGUUGAAACAUACACCACUAGUACCACAGACACAUAUUUAACAACAGAGACUUCCACAAACCCAACAAUACCUGCUGAAACAUCCACCAAUAGUGCAGCAGAAACAUAUACUACAACAGAGACUUCCAAAACAACGACUCCUGCUGAAACAUCCAAUACUAGUGCAGCAGAAAAAUAUACUACACAGAUAUCCACCAUCACAAAAAUUCCUGCUGAAACAUCCACCACUAGUGCUGCAGAAACGUCUUCAACAACAGAGACUUCCACAAUCACAACAAUUCCUGCUGAAACCUCUACUAUCAAUGUAACACAAACAUCUACAACAACAGAGAGUUCCACAAUCACAACAAUUCCAGCUGAAACAUCCACUAUCAGUGCAGCAGAAAUAUCUACAACAGAGACUUCAACAAUCACAAUAAUUCCAGCUGAAACAUCCACUACUAGUGCAGCAGAAACAUCUACAACAACAGAGACUUCCAUAAUCAAAUCAACUACACCUGAAAUAUCCACCCCUAGUGAGGCAGAAAUAUCUACUACAAAAGAAACAUCCACAAUCAGGACUCCUGCUGAAACAUCCUCCGUUAGUGUAGCAGAAAUAUCUUCAACAACAGAGACUUCCACAAUCCCAACAUUACCUGCUGAAACACCCACAACUAGUGCAACAGAAACAUCUUCUACAACAGAGAAUUCCACAAUAAAGACUCCUUCUGAAACAUCCAGAACUAGUACAGCAGAAACAUCUGCAACCACAGAGACUUCAACAAUAACGACUCCCACUGAAACAUCCACCACUAGUAAAGCAGAAACAUCUUCAACAACAGAUAAUUUCACAAUCACAUCAACUCCUGCUGAAACACCCACAACUAGUGCAACAGAAACAUCUACUACAACAGAGAAUUCCACAAUAAAGACUCCUUCUGAAACAUCCAGAACUAGUGCAGCAGAAACAUCUACAACAACAGAGACUUCCACAACAAUGACAAUUGCUGAAACAUUAACCACUAGUGCAUCAGAAACAUCUACAACAACAGAGACUUCCACAAUCACUACUUCUGCUGAAAUAUCUACUAUCAGUGAAACAGAAAUAUCUACAACAAAAGAGUCUUCAACAAUAACGAUUCCUGCUGAAAAACCCACCCCUAGUGUAGCAGAAACAUCUAUAACAACAGAGACUGCUACAUUCACAUCUUCUCCUGCUGAAACACCCAACACUAGUGUAGCAGAAAUAUUUUCAACAACAGAGACUUCCACAAUCACAACAAUUCCUGCUGAAACCUCUACUAUCAGUGUAGCAGAAACAUCUACAACAACAGAGACUUCAACACUCACAACAACUGCAGCUGAAAUAUCCACUUUUAGUGUUGCAGAAACAUCUACAACAACAGAGAGUUUCACAAUCACUAUUCCUGCUGAAACAUCCACCUCUAAUGCAGCAGAAACAUUUACAACAACAGAGACUUCUACAAUAACUACUCCUGCUGAAACAUCCACCAGUAGUGCAGCAGAAACAUCUACUACAACAGAGACUUCCACAACAACGACUCCUGCUGAAACAUCCACUACUAGUGCAGCAGAAAAAUCUACUACACAGAUAUCCACCAUCACAACAAUUCCUGCUGAAACAUCCACCACUAGUGCAGCAGAAACAUCUACAACAACAGAGACUUCCAUAAUCACUACUCCUGCUGAAAUAUCUACUACUAGUGCUGCAGAAACAUUUACAACAACAGAGACUUCCACAAUCACAACAAUUCCUUCUGAAACAUCCACUAUCCGUGUAGCAGAAACAUCUACAACAACAGAGACUUCAACUAUCAAAUCAACUACACCUGAAAUAUCCACCCCUAGUGAAGCAGAAAUAUCUACUACAAAAGAGACAUCCACAAUCAUGACUCCUGCUGAAACAUCCUCCGUUAGUGUAGCAGAAACAUCUUCUACAACAGGGAAUUCCACAAUAAAGACUCCUGCUGAAACAUCCAGAACUAGUACAGCAGAAACAUCUGCAACCACAGAGACUUCCACAAUAACGACUCCUGCUGAAACAUCCACCACUAGUGUAGCAGAAAUAUCUUCAACAACAGAGACUUCC
This is a long non-coding RNA of Cyprinus carpio carpio, 2948 nucleotides long. The record is from Ensembl. Lineage: Eukaryota; Metazoa; Chordata; Actinopteri; Cypriniformes; Cyprinidae.